GGGAGUGCGGCGUCUUAGUUGCAGUCGACGCUUGUGCGGAGCACAAGAAAUUUCAAAUCCAAAAAUACAAGUUCCAAAUAAUUUUCAAAAAUUUCAAAUUUAAUUAUUUGAAUAUAUAAUUUAUUUGGUUUAUUGAGAUUUUGAUAUUGGAGUUUCUCGUGCUUCGCGCGAGAGUGGCGGACGGGUGAGUAACGCGUAUGAAUCUACCCAAGAGCUCUGAAUAACCUGCCGAAAGGUGGGCUAAUACGGAAUGGUCCCUACGGGGUAAAGGAGUAAUCCGCUUUUGGAGGAGCAUGCGUCCUAUCAGCUAGUUGGUGAGGUAAUGGCUUACCAAGGCUAUGACGGGUAUCUGGACUGAGAGGUUGAACAGACACAGGGGCACUGAGACACGGGCUCCACAUCUACGGAUGGCAGCAACCAGGAAUAUUGGGCAAUGGACGAAAGUCUGACCCAGCGACGCCGCGUGGAGGAUGAAGGCUUUAGGGUCGUAAACUCCUUUUAAUAGACCCUUCACGGUCUAUAGAAUAAGCACCUACUAACUACGUGCCAGAAGUCUCGGUAAUACGUAGGGUGCAAGCGUUAUCCGGAUUUACUGGGCGUAAAGAGUGUGUAGGCGGUCUUCCAAGUCGCAGUUUAAAGCCCGGGGCUUAACCCCGGAUUUGGUUGCGAUACUGAUUGACUCGAGGAUUAUUUGGGGUGCUGGAACAGUUGGUGUAGUGGUGAAAUACGUUGAUAUCAACUGGAACACCGAAGGCGAAGGCAAGUGCCUGAGAUUUUCCUGACGCUGAGACACGAAAGCCAGGGUAGCGAAACAGAUUAGAGACCUGUGUAGUCCUGGCCGUAAACGAUGGAUACUAGCUAGUGUGCAAGCACUGGCGUAAGCUAACGCGUUAAGUAUCCCGCCUGGGGAGUACGACCGCAAGGUUAAAACUCAAAGGAAUUGACGG
Molecule: ribosomal RNA, 947 nt
Filed under: uncultured delta proteobacterium
Lineage: Bacteria; Deltaproteobacteria
Description: bacterial SSU rRNA
Rfam family: Bacterial small subunit ribosomal RNA
Source: RNAcentral